AUGAACGCUGGCGGCGUGCCUAAUACAUGCAAGUCGAGCGAACAGAUGAGGAGCUUGCUCCUCUGACGUUAGCGGCGGACGGGUGAGUAACACGUGGAUAACCUACCUAUAAGACUGGGAUAACUUCGGGAAACCGGAGCUAAUACCGGAUAAUAUAUUGAACCGCAUGGUUCAAUAGUGAAAGACGGUUUUGCUGUCACUUAUAGAUGGAUCCGCGCCGCAUUAGCUAAUUGGUAAGGUAACGGCUUACCAAGGCAACGAUGCGUAGCCGACCUGAGAGGGUGAUCGGCCACACUGGAACUGAGACACGGUCCAGACUCCUACGGGAGGCAGCAGUAGGGAAUCUUCCGCAAUGGGCGAAAGCCUGACGGAGCAACGCCGCGUGAGUGAUGAAGGUCUUCGGAUCGUAAAACUCUGUUAUUAGGGAAGAACAAAUGUGUAAGUAACUAUGCACGUCUUGACGGUACCUAAUCAGAAAGCCACGGCUAACUACGUG
RNAcentral lists this ribosomal RNA (496 nucleotides) under uncultured bacterium. RNAcentral describes it as "partial 16S ribosomal RNA". It matches the Rfam family "Bacterial small subunit ribosomal RNA", at positions 29 to 507 of the family's 1533-position model. The record is from RNAcentral.